Long non-coding RNA from Myxocyprinus asiaticus (Chinese sucker), 427 nucleotides. RefSeq lists it as uncharacterized. Lineage: Eukaryota; Metazoa; Chordata; Actinopteri; Cypriniformes; Catostomidae. The record is from RefSeq and is a predicted model, not a curated record. The transcript has 3 exons.
CGCACACUCUUCUGUGGCAUCCACUAUUAUGGAGUCAUGGGUGUUUUCACACUCGGUCCGUUCGCGGGAUUUUUGGCCCAUAUGUCAACAAUCCAAACGAUCGCACAUUUUCAAGGCGAACCGAAACGAGACAAUCUCGACGAAACUGAUCUCUGCUUGAAGAUGAACAGAACACUGAAACACUAAAAACCAACCAUCUACAACAAAAGGGCUUUCCCAGCACUAGGAUCUACUUAACGGCUGAUGUGGCCCCUGUACCAAAACAAUUGCACACCUCUGCUCAUUUGAAUAUGACAAAUACUGUAAAUUGGCAAGCAGAUUUUCUUGAAUCCCAGCAAACACAAAAAUCCCUGUAUUUUGUGAACACAAAAAAUGCUGCAUCAAUGGAUGUCCUAAUCUGCAGGCGCAGCAUUUUGCUCUCAUUUUC